RNAcentral lists this ribosomal RNA (495 nucleotides) under uncultured bacterium. RNAcentral describes it as "partial 16S ribosomal RNA". It matches the Rfam family "Bacterial small subunit ribosomal RNA", at positions 28 to 507 of the family's 1533-position model. The record is from RNAcentral.
GACGAACGCUGGCGGCGUGCCUAAUACAUGCAAGUAGAACGCUGAAGGAGGAGCUUGCUUCUCUGGAUGAGUUGCGAACGGGUGAGUAACGCGUAGGUAACCUGCCUGGUAGCGGGGGAUAACUAUUGGAAACGAUAGCUAAUACCGCAUAAUAGUAGAUGUUGCAUGACAUUUGCUUAAAAGGUGCAAUUGCAUCACUACCAGAUGGACCUGCGUUGUAUUAGCUAGUUGGUGGGGUAACGGCUCACCAAGGCGACGAUACAUAGCCGACCUGAGAGGGUGAUCGGCCACACUGGGACUGAGACACGGCCCAGACUCCUACGGGAGGCAGCAGUAGGGAAUCUUCGGCAAUGGACGGAAGUCUGACCGAGCAGCGCCGCGUGAGUGAAGAAGGGUUUCGGAUCGUAAAGCUCUGUUGUAAGAGAAGAACGAGUGUGAGAGUGGAAAGUUCACACUGUGACGGUAUCUUACCAGAAAGGGACGGCUAACUACGUG